GAGGGUAUAACUCAAUGGUAGAGUGUGUGCUUAGCAUGCUCGAGGUCCUGGGUUCAAUCCCCAGCACCUCCA
Molecule: transfer RNA, 72 nt
Filed under: Camelus ferus (Wild Bactrian camel)
Lineage: Eukaryota; Metazoa; Chordata; Mammalia; Artiodactyla; Camelidae
Rfam family: tRNA
About the family: Transfer RNA (tRNA) molecules are approximately 80 nucleotides in length. Their secondary structure includes four short double-helical elements and three loops (D, anti-codon, and T loops). Further hydrogen bonds mediate the characteristic L-shaped molecular structure. tRNAs have two regions of fundamental functional importance: the anti-codon, which is responsible for specific mRNA codon recognition, and the 3' end, to which the tRNAs corresponding amino acid is attached (by aminoacyl-tRNA synthetases). tRNAs cope with the degeneracy of the genetic code in two manners: having more than one tRNA (with a specific anti-codon) for a particular amino acid; and 'wobble' base-pairing, i.e. permitting non-standard base-pairing at the 3rd anti-codon position.
Source: Rfam by way of RNAcentral